GACGAACGCUGGCGGCGUGCUUAACACAUGCAAGUCGAACGGAAAGGCCCUGCUUUUGUGGGGUGCUCGAGUGGCGAACGGGUGUGUAACACGUGUGUAACCUGCCCUUGACUUUGGGAUAACUUCAGGAAACUGGGGCUAAUACCGGAUAGGAUCUCCUGCUGCAUGGUGGGGGUUGGUAAGUUUCGGCGGUUGGGGAUGGACUCGCGGCUUAUCAGCUUGUUGGUGGAGUAGUGGCUUACCAAGUCUUUGACGGGUAGCCGGCCUGAGAGGGUGACCGGGGACAAUGGGACUGAGAUACGGACCAGAGGGGAACGGGAGGCAGCAGUGGGGAAUAUUGCACAAUGGGGGGAAGCGUGAUGCAGAAACGCAGCGUGCGGGAAGAAGGCCUACGGGUUGUAAAAAGAAUUAGGAUGAGACGAAGAGUGAGUGACGGUAAUGGGUAAAGAAGCACCGGCUAACUACGUG
Molecule: ribosomal RNA, 468 nt
Filed under: uncultured bacterium
Lineage: Bacteria
Description: partial 16S ribosomal RNA
Rfam family: Bacterial small subunit ribosomal RNA
Source: RNAcentral